UUAAUUAAGCACAGUCAGUACAGCAUGAGACUCUUAAUUUCAUGGUCAUGGGUUCAAGUCCCAUGUUGGGAAAAA
Podarcis lilfordi (Lilford's wall lizard) is the source of this 75-nucleotide non-coding RNA. The record is from the annotation of a GenBank genome assembly. Lineage: Eukaryota; Metazoa; Chordata; Lepidosauria; Squamata; Lacertidae.